UACGUAGGGGGCUAGCGUUGUCCGGAAUCAUUGGGCGUAAAGAGCGUGUAGGCGGUCCGGUAAGUCCGUUGUGAAAGUCAGGGGCUCAACCCUUGAAUGCCGGCGGAUACUGUCGGGCUAGAGUCCGGAAGAGGCAAGUGGAAUUCCCGGUGUAGCGGUGAAAUGCGCAGAUAUCGGGAGGAACACCUAUGGCGAAGGCAGCUCUCUGGGACGGUACUGACGCUGAGACGCGAAAGCGUGGGGAGCGAACAGG
This 253-nucleotide ribosomal RNA is filed under the name uncultured bacterium. RNAcentral's name for it is "partial 16S ribosomal RNA". It matches the Rfam family "Bacterial small subunit ribosomal RNA", at positions 524 to 776 of the family's 1533-position model. The record is from RNAcentral.